GGAGCGGCCGAUGUCCGAUUAGCUAGUUGGUGAGGUAAAGGCUCACCAAGGCGACGAUCGGUAGCUGGUCUGAGAGGACGAUCCGCCACACUGGGACUGAGACACGGCCCAGACUCCUACGGGAGGCAGCAGUGGGGAAUUUUGGACAAUGGGGGCAACCCUGAUCCAGCAAUGCCGCGUGGGUGAAGAAGGCCUUCGGGUUGUAAAGCCCUUUGGUCGGGGAAGAAAUCGGCCGGGCGAAUAGCGCGGCUGGAUGACGGUACCCGCAGAAGAAGCACCGGCUAACUACGUGCCAGCAGCCGCGGUAAUAC
RNAcentral lists this ribosomal RNA (311 nucleotides) under uncultured Methanobacteriales archaeon. Its description in RNAcentral is "bacterial SSU rRNA". It matches the Rfam family "Bacterial small subunit ribosomal RNA", at positions 223 to 526 of the family's 1533-position model. Lineage: Archaea; Methanobacteriati; Methanobacteriota; Methanobacteria; Methanobacteriales. The record is from RNAcentral.